AUGAUGGACAUUGUGAACACCUACACUGUGAACACCUACACUGGGAACACCUACACUGUGAACACCUACACUGGGAACACCUACACUGGGAACACCUACACUGUGAACACCUACAUUGUGAACACCUACACUGGGAACACCUACAUUGUGAACACCUACACUGGGAACACCUACACUGGGAACACCUACACUGGGAACACCUACACUGUGAACACCUACACUGGGAACACCUACACUGUGAACACCUACACUGGGAACACCUACACUGGGAACACCUACACUGUGAACACCUACAUUGUGAACACCUACACUGGGAACACCUACAUUGUGAACACCUACACUGGGAACACCUACACUGGGAACACCUACACUGUGAACACCUACACUGGGAACACCUACAUUGUGAACACCUACACUGGGAACACCUACAUUGUGAACACCUACACUGUGAACACCUACACUGGGAACACCCACACUGUGAACACCUACACUGGGAACGCCUACACUGGGAACACCUACAUUGUGAACACCUACAUUGUGAACACCUACACUGUGAACACCUACAUUGUGAACACCUACACUGUGAACACCUACACUGGGAACACCUACACUGUGAACACCUACACUGUGAACACCUACACUGUGAACACCUACACUGUGAACACCUACACUGUGAACACCUACACUGUGAACACCUACAUUGUGAACACCUACACUGGGAACACCUACACUGUGAACACCUACACUGUGAACACCUACACUGUGAACACCUACACUGUGAACACCUACAUUGUGAACACCUACACUGGGAACACCUACACUGUGAACACCUACACUGUGAACACCUACACUGUGAACACCUACACUGUGAACACCUACAUUGUGAACACCUACACUGUGAACACCUACACUGGGAACACCUACACUGUGAACACCUACACUGUGAACACCUACACUGUGAACACCUACAUGAAACAAAAUGUGCAGGCGUUAAAGAUCUGCGAUGUCAUAGUAAAUAUGGAUGAAAUAUUUCCGUGGCCUUCCACAUGA
Molecule: long non-coding RNA, 1050 nt
Filed under: Oncorhynchus mykiss (rainbow trout)
Lineage: Eukaryota; Metazoa; Chordata; Actinopteri; Salmoniformes; Salmonidae
Description: lncRNA (ENSOMYG00000066194.1)
Source: RNAcentral